UACAGAGGGGGCAAGCGUUGUUCGGAAUUACUGGGCGUAAAGGGCGCGUAGGCGGCCUGCUAAGUCGAACGUGAAAUCCCCGAGCUCAACUCGGGAACUGCGUCCGAUACUGGCAGGCUUGAAUCCGGGAGAGGGAUGCGGAAUUCCAGGUGUAGCGGUGAAAUGCGUAGAUAUCUGGAGGAACACCGGUGGCGAAGGCGGCAUCCUGGACCGACAUUGACGCUGAGGCGCGAAAGCCAGGGGAGCAAACGGG
RNAcentral lists this ribosomal RNA (253 nucleotides) under uncultured bacterium. Its description in RNAcentral is "partial 16S ribosomal RNA". It matches the Rfam family "Bacterial small subunit ribosomal RNA", at positions 524 to 776 of the family's 1533-position model. The record is from RNAcentral.